RNAcentral lists this unclassified non-coding RNA (400 nucleotides) under Tonella tenella. RNAcentral describes it as "partial external transcribed spacer". The record is from RNAcentral. Lineage: Eukaryota; Viridiplantae; Streptophyta; Magnoliopsida; Lamiales; Plantaginaceae.
UCGGGCAGCGACAAUAUCUCGUGCAAGCCUUUUCAUUGUUGGAACAAGUGCUUUUGCCUUGUCCUCAUCGGAUUUCCUGUGUUGUAUACCUAUUGUAAAGGCAUCCAUUCGGUUAAAAAUGUCCCUUUUCCACUGAGUCUCAUUUCAUUCGUGAAACGAUGCGAGGUGGAACUCCAAGGACGAUGUGUGUGUUUCCUCUUUCCCUCACAAUUGUGUUGGGAUCUUGGCCCAUGCAUAUCGUACGAUCUCUCGGGUUCGGAAUAUAAUUUCGGUACAUGGCACUCGUGCCACUAUAAGUCCCGUAAAAGCGUUCAACGCUUCGAGCGAACGACUGUCGCAGCUGUUAUCAUUCGAGUCCUCGUGGCUUGACUGAGGCGGUUUCGGCGUCGAUGAGGAAUGC